Marmota flaviventris (yellow-bellied marmot) is the source of this 888-nucleotide non-coding RNA. NCBI's taxonomy places the organism in Eukaryota, Metazoa, Chordata, Mammalia, Rodentia, Sciuridae. The record is from RefSeq and is a predicted model, not a curated record.
CUGGCCUGGUUGGUGGCCACCUUUUGUGAGUCCUCUGGGCUGGGCAGCUGCUGGCACCCUGGCAGCUCCCGUGGGCCUCGCUCCCCCACCGCCCCAACGCCCCCUCGGCACCUGGAACGACUGAUCUGGGUGGAAGUCCGACGUCCCUUGAAUCAACAAGUAUGUCCUCUUCUUGGCCAGGAUGUGCUCGCAGCCCAUGCAGGAGGCUUGGAUGAAGUAGGAGAUGUGGCCGGUUUUGCUGGAGAAGGUGGAGGGCAGCCUGGGAGCCUGCUUGUCAUGGCCGGUCGCCACAGCAGACACAAAGGCCUGAAGUUCCCAGAGACCUAUCUGCUGCAUCAGAUGCAGGGGCCCUGCUCUGGAGCUUGGCACAGAUGGACGUCUGUUCAGCACGGGCUUCAGAUGACCUCUCUGCUGUAAUCACGGGAGGCCCCGAUCUCCUCGUUCCACUCGACGUAGCCCCUCCCCACGAGCUCCACCUUCACCACGGGGUCCACCAGGGUGCUGUUCAGGGUGGAAGGAGAGGCCCAGAGAGGCCUGAAGGCAUCUGCCGUCCUACCAGGUGUCCCCAGGUUCGGUGCCACAUUUGAUCAUUUUCCUGUUGAAGGCUCUUCAUUAUCUGGUCUGUAUUGGAAAAAAAGUUAUAGAUGGGGACAGGACACGGCAUCUGAUGGGUACUGCAGACGCUCAGGUCCCCUGGACUCACCCUGGACACCCAGACCACCUGGAACCUGUCCUCUCGCAUGACUGACAUUUCUCCUUAAACCUGCUCUCCCCACUGGGUAAGUCCCUUCAGAGGGAGGCUGUGUCAGGGAGGUUCGUGCCCACCAACGUGUGCCCGACCCAGAUCAGCAAGGCUAAUGGUAGUGUCAAUAAAAGUUUGUUGAGUGA